AUGUUUUUGUUGUCAAGUCUUGCAGCACAGGGGAUUUUUGGUGGUCAAGUGGCCAACCCAUCAGCCAAUGCCGUCAAGAUCUUCAUUGGGUGUGCUUGUGCUUUUUUUGGAAGAUGCCAGGCAAUAGCGCUGCUUCAGUAUAUUAAGGAAAGAUUUACAAAAUCUGAACAUGUAAAUUACACUCAAUCUAUGCAUGUUUGCCCAGAUUUGAAUAACUUUGAGUUUGUGACCAUCGCACUUGGUAUCUUUUCUAAUGUAUUUUUUUGUUUUGCUAGGUCAAGUAGUUCCUGUGAAAUGACUUUGGGAAUGGGGUGGUUCACCGGGAUAAUUAGUGGUAGCACCUCAUGCUGA
RNAcentral lists this ribosomal RNA (351 nucleotides) under Triticum aestivum (bread wheat). RNAcentral's name for it is "partial small subunit ribosomal RNA". Lineage: Eukaryota; Viridiplantae; Streptophyta; Magnoliopsida; Poales; Poaceae. The record is from RNAcentral.